This 2447-nucleotide small RNA is filed under the name Pongo abelii (Sumatran orangutan). RNAcentral's name for it is "retained intron". The record is from RNAcentral. Lineage: Eukaryota; Metazoa; Chordata; Mammalia; Primates; Hominidae.
UGCUUUCAUAAUAAAAACAUAAAACUUUAUUUCUUAAAAAACGCUUGUUUAAAAAGAAAUAAAGGAAGGUGGCAGGAGCAGUCCUCUGAGGGGGUCCAAGGAGGAAUCAGUGUUACUGUGGAAAGUAAUACCAGGCCUUGCUUCUGUUGACUUGAAGAUUACUGAGCUCCCAAUUCAUUAGUUAGGCCAGAGGUGUCCUGUUCAUGAAAAUUGCCAGGCUGGUGACAUGCAACAGGUGCAGACCUCUGCAGUGUGAGCCCUGGGAACACACUGAGAACUGCCAGCGUUUUGGCAGUGCUUCACAGUGCUCACAGCUGCUGUGUGUCAAGCAGGUGCUGCUCUAAUGCUUCAGUGUUCUGUGAUGUGAGGUCUGGCCCCGCUCUCUUCCUCAACACUCCAGGCUUUGACCAGCUACCAAAUACCUGGCCAGACUAUUGUCACGAGAGCUGUCAAAUGAAAUCCUGGGGCAGGAGUCAUCAGUCAUUUAGUGUGCUUCCAGAAGGAAUCAAAGGAGUAGCUGUUCAAGCAGGGGAAAGGAAUGAGAAAAGAAAAAACGUAGAGCAAGUCUGUUACUUAAGAAAAACACAGAACCAAUGUUACAACUAAGAAUCUCAGAGUCCUUGGCUGUGAGUCGGGUGUUUGGUGUUAUAUAGGGAUUUAUCAGUCACUGGUUCAGAAGAAUAUCGGGUAACCUCUGUGAAAUAAAUGAGGGGAGCGCAAGCCAGGAUGAGGCAGAAUUCGUAAUGAAUUCCCUCAUCACAUCUCUUGGCCAAGAAAAACAUGCACCUUCUCCAGAGACAGAAUUUGUCUUCCAUUCCAGGAGGUGGAGGAACACUUGAAGUAUAUGUAGUCCAGGCUUUCAGAUGAGCAGUUUCACUAGCAGUUUUUCGCAAUCUACUCAUAAACAAGUGAAAAGAGAAAUCGUGAGGUAACUGGAGUCUUUCUGUAUCAGGAAUAGCAUCUCUGUAAAAACAAGUUAGUCCCGUGCUUAAUCCCUGCCUCGAUACAGAGCUAUCCGUCUGGUGUGGAUAUAUUAAGCCAGCAUUCUCUUCCCGUCUCCCAGAAGGGCGGCUGGGUGUGACAGCGUAAAUGUGUGACAGUAUGUGAAAAUGUUUCUGUAAUCCUGAAGAUUUCAGUAGUGAUUAGAAAAGUUUUAGUCUUUGGUCAAUUUUCUUUGACUUGGAAAGCAUAAAGAAUGUUUGAACCUCUCAUUUCAGACUGACCUUGACUCUCCUCAUUUUAUUUUAUUUUAUUUUAUUUUAUUUUUUUGCCUUAGAUCAUCCAGCCCCUCUUAGAACUUGACCAAAAUAGAAGUAAAUUAAAGUUGUACAUUGGACACCUGACAGCCCUCUGCCAUGACCGAGACCCCCUGAUCCUCCGUGGACUCACUCCACCAGCUUCCUAUAACUUGGACGAUGACCAGGCGGCUUGGGAGAAUGAGCUGCAGAAGAUGACCCGGGGGCAGCUUCAGGAUGAGUUAGAGAAAGGCGAACGGGACAAUGCAGAACUGCAGGAGUUUGCCAACGCCAUUCUUCAGCAGAUAGCAGAUCAUUGUCCCGACAUCCUAGAGCAAGUGGUCAACGCCCUGGAAGAGUCCUCUUGACCCUGCUUUGUGGGGAAGCCUGAGGUAGUCACCCCAGGAGCUAAGAAAGGAGAACUACGAGGAACAGGCGCCCAGAACCUUCUUGGCACCAAACACUACAAACUUCAUCCCAACUUGCUCACUUGAAGAAGUGUGAUUCCAGCACAAUUUCUACAUCUGCUAUCUUACUCUGCCUUUCUGCUUUGAAUGUGAGCUCUACACUAACCUUCUUGAUGUCCAGGGUAGAUAAAAGGUCGAUUCUCUCUGAAGAACUGCCACCUGGUCAUCAGCAGUGGAGAACUGUGGGAGCUGGUGGCUCUGCCCUGACAGAGAGCCAUGGAGCAGAGGAACCUCUCACCUCCUGUCCUCCGACAUGAGAAUGAAACCAGGAAUGGACUUGGAGUUCAGCAGGCUGAGAGGAUGCCUCCAAUGGACCAGAGAGCUGAGUGUUCUAAUAUCGCAAUAGGUGCUUUCUCCUAAAAGGGUAAAAAACAAUCUCAAAAAGAUUAGAAAAAGAGAAGGGGGGAAGGGAAGAGAAAAUCGACUCUUCUUUUUACUGUCUCUUCUGCUUACUUUCCACAUGAGAUGCUUUGUACCGGGGAGCUGUGAGCAGGCCUCACGAUGGCUUGGGAGCACUCGUCCCCCAAGGUCUGAGUCUUCACCCAGCCCUGCCUGUCUGUCCCAGCCUUCCUCACUCUGUUCCUCAGCCAGUUAACAAGAAGAUGAUGAGGUGUUCUCCACCAGUCUCUCCUGUUUGAGGCUGUUGACCUUAUCAUGCUGAGGUGUUAGAUCAAAUAUCUCUAAUUGAAGAACAUAUGAGGUUGAAAGAGCACCAGCCAGCAACAUAGCGCGACCCUGUCUCUAC